UCAAAGCUACUAAGGGCUCACGGUGGAUGCCUUGGUGCUAGGCGGCGACGAAGGGCGUGACAGACUGCGAUAAGCUUCGGGUAGUUGUUUAUAUGCUUUGAUCCGAAGAUCCCCGAAUCGGGCAACCGGGUAAGUAUUAUUACUUACCGUCUGUACGGUAACAGUACAGACGCCAACCAGGAGAAGUGAAACAUCUCAGUACCCUGAGGAAGAGAAAGAAAAAUCGAUUUCCUGAGUAGCGGCGAGCGAAACGGAAACAGCCUAAACCAGAUGUACACGUAUGUCUGGGGUUGUGGGACCCUCACAAAAGAUAACAGUUUUUUAACUUAACGUCCCUGGGAUAGGGCGACCAGAGAAGGUUACAGUCCUGUGAGUAAAAAGAAACUUGUGUCUUGAGGGGAUCCCGAGUACCACGCGGAUAGACUAAACCUGUGGGAAUCCAGGAGGACCACCUCCUAAGGCUAAAUACGUCCUAGCAACCGAUAGUGAACAAGUACUGUGAAGGAAAGGUGAAAAGUUCCCCUGUUAGGGAAGUGAAAUAGAACCUGAAACCGUGAGCUUACAAGCUGUGGAAGUGCGAGAUCGGGCAACCGAUGUGCAUGACCGCGUGCCUUUUGCAUAAUGAGCCGGUGACUUACUUUGCGUAGCAAGAUUAAGCUUUUUUGAAGCGUAGUCGUAGCGAAAGCGAGUCUGAAUAGGGCGAUAAGUUGCGUUGAG
This 717-nucleotide ribosomal RNA is filed under the name Candidatus Poribacteria bacterium. Its description in RNAcentral is "bacterial LSU rRNA". It matches the Rfam family "Bacterial large subunit ribosomal RNA", at positions 1 to 709 of the family's 2925-position model. Lineage: Bacteria; Candidatus Poribacteria. The record is from RNAcentral.